GUAGCAGGGUGGGAGGGAGCUACGGCUGGUGGCUGAUUCUCUGGGGUGACUGGGCAUGGGUUAUGGGAAUGGAGGAUGAUGUCCCUCAUCGGUUCCCAGAGAGUUGCCUCACUAGCACCCUGGAGCCUGUGAAUAGUGUUUAAAUCAAUGGUCAAAGUGAAGAGGGCAGCUUAGUCCUCAUUACUCCCCAGGACUAAUUGACCUCUUCUGAAAAGGUACAUUCUUGAUUUGGUGAGACUCUUCCUCAUCCGGAAAGAGGAGAACAAAGGCAUCACCAUCCUGAGAGUGUUUGUGAAGGACUCAUACAGACCGAACACUGCGCAGAGCCUGAUGACCUUUUCCUGCCCUGGAGAUUCUCAGUUUUGUCAUUUUGAUGAAUCUCUAAGUUGUGUUCACUGACUGCGUGCAAUUCUACUUGGAGAUCUUCAUAACACCUUAAGGGAAAAAUCCUUUUUGAAAGAAAAACAAGUCUGGGUGGUGCUUGAAAAUUCAGAAGGCAGCUAGAAACUCUGCCAAUUACAACUGGUGAUUGCUGAGUUCUGGAGACAGACUGGGCUUCUGCUUUCUUUUGGUGGAGGUGUCUGCUUGCAGAAAAUUUAUGUUCUGGGAUUUACAACUUCAGGGAGACAAAGGAAACUCCAGCUCAUCUCCCACAUCAUUGAUUGAGAGGACCAUUUUCUGACUGUCUGCACACGGAUGGGCAUUUGAAUUAUUUCCAGUUUUUGGCUAUUAUGAAAAAAACUGCUAUGAACAUUCAUACACAAGUGUGUGUGUGGACCCAUGUUUUCACUGAUCAAGGCCUAAAUACCUACGGUAAGUAUACAUUUAACCUUAUAAGAAAAUGCAAAACUAUUUUUCCAAAGUAGUAUCAUUUUACAUUUCUUCUAACAACAUAUGAGAAUGGCAGUUGCUCUACUAAUAUGGUUUGGCUUUGUGUCCCCACC
Molecule: long non-coding RNA, 944 nt
Filed under: Homo sapiens (human)
Lineage: Eukaryota; Metazoa; Chordata; Mammalia; Primates; Hominidae
Description: HSALNT0079586
Source: RNAcentral